GACAAAAGCCUACACUGCCAUGGAUGU
Molecule: unclassified non-coding RNA, 27 nt
Filed under: Mus musculus (house mouse)
Lineage: Eukaryota; Metazoa; Chordata; Mammalia; Rodentia; Muridae
Description: oocyte_clustered_small_RNA4106
Source: RNAcentral